AGCAACAGAUUGAAAACAUAUUUGAACAAAUAAUAAAGGAGAACUUCCACAUUCUGGCAAAGGAAAUAGACUUCCAGGAAAUCCAGGAAGCUCAGAGAGCCCCAAAGAAGUUGGACCCAAAGAGGCACAGACCAAGGCACAUCGUCAUUAAGUUAACCAAGAGUAAAGAUACAGACAGAAUCUUAAAAGCAGCAAGA
Molecule: long non-coding RNA, 197 nt
Organism: Phyllostomus discolor (pale spear-nosed bat)
Lineage: Eukaryota; Metazoa; Chordata; Mammalia; Chiroptera; Phyllostomidae
Exons: 2
Source: RefSeq, a predicted model, not a curated record